Non-coding RNA from Venturia effusa, 99 nucleotides. The record is from the annotation of a GenBank genome assembly. Lineage: Eukaryota; Fungi; Ascomycota; Dothideomycetes; Venturiales; Venturiaceae.
GCGGGUAUAGCUCAGUUGGGAGAGCGUCAGACUGAAGUCCACUUCGGUUGUCCUUAAGCUGGGAUCUGAAGGUCAUGUGUUCAAUCCACAUUAGCCGCA